Molecule: small RNA, 219 nt
Filed under: Marmota monax (woodchuck)
Lineage: Eukaryota; Metazoa; Chordata; Mammalia; Rodentia; Sciuridae
Description: U2 spliceosomal RNA
Source: Rfam by way of RNAcentral
AUCGCUUCUCGGCCUUUUGGCUAAGAUCAAGUGUAGAAACACCUUUGGGACUAUAGUAGAAGAGACUGUGGAUUUUGCCUGAAGACCUGAAAUGAUCACAAAGCAAAUACAAAUACUUAUAUUUUGAUAGGUCUGUGGACCUUGAACCAUGGAAAUCUCAUCUGAUAUUUAGAAGGUUUUCUUUUCUUAUCCCAGUACAGCUAAAUGAAAAUUUAAAAG